Molecule: ribosomal RNA, 32 nt
Filed under: Ascochyta medicaginicola var. medicaginicola
Lineage: Eukaryota; Fungi; Ascomycota; Dothideomycetes; Pleosporales; Didymellaceae
Description: partial 18S ribosomal RNA
Source: RNAcentral
UUUCCGUAGGUGAACCUGCGGAAGGCAUCAUU